This 347-nucleotide long non-coding RNA is filed under the name Amphibalanus amphitrite. RNAcentral describes it as "uncharacterized LOC122383340". Lineage: Eukaryota; Metazoa; Arthropoda; Thecostraca; Balanomorpha; Balanidae. The record is from RNAcentral.
GGUCAAGUCGUGUCGGUUGCUGUACAAUCUGUACCUUCACUGCACGGCAGACACCGGCCGGGCCGUGCUGACCGCCCUGAAGGAGGCGGACCUGGGCCGGGACAGUGAUGGCCGGCCCCGUACCAUCGUUCUCUUUGUCCCCGAGGAGCUGUUCCGUCAGCUGAAGAGACAGGAAGGCGGUGGGGUCAAAGUGUGGGAGUGGGAGGAUUGAUGCGCUGCACUACCGACCGUGCAGUGAUGAGCUGACUGCAGAGAGGCCGAGCCAGUCGGCCGGGGCCGCCAGCUGACUGCUGCCGUGUGUGCUGCACCAGCCGGCACUGAGAGCGGCGCCGGUCAGCCGGCACACG